GACGAACGCUGGCGGCGUGCUUAACACAUGCAAGUCGAACGAUGAAGCCUUCGGGUGGAUUAGUGGCGAACGGGUGAGUAACACGUGGGCAAUCUGCCCUGUACUUUGGGAUAAGCCUUGGAGACGGGGUCUAAUACCGGAUAUCACUUCUGACCGCAUGGUUGGUUGUUGAAAGUUCUGGCGGUACAGGAUGAGCCCGCGGCCUAUCAGCUUGUUGGUGGGGUAAUGGCCUACCAAGGCGACGACGGGUAGCCGGCCUGAGAGGGUGACCGGCCACACUGGGACUGAGACACGGCCCAGACUCCUACGGGAGGCAGCAGUGGGGAAUAUUGCACAAUGGGCGAAAGCCUGAUGCAGCGACGCCGCGUGAGGGAUGACGGCCUCGGUUGUAACC
This 394-nucleotide ribosomal RNA is filed under the name uncultured bacterium. Its description in RNAcentral is "bacterial SSU rRNA". It matches the Rfam family "Bacterial small subunit ribosomal RNA", at positions 28 to 430 of the family's 1533-position model. The record is from RNAcentral.